Molecule: transfer RNA, 61 nt
Filed under: Bacteroidales bacterium
Lineage: Bacteria; Pseudomonadati; Bacteroidota; Bacteroidia; Bacteroidales
Description: tRNA-Met
Rfam family: tRNA
About the family: Transfer RNA (tRNA) molecules are approximately 80 nucleotides in length. Their secondary structure includes four short double-helical elements and three loops (D, anti-codon, and T loops).
Source: RNAcentral
AUAGCUCAGUUGGUUAGAGCAUCUGACUCAUAAUCAGAGGGUCCGGGGUUCGAGUCCCUGU